UACGGGGGGUGCAAGCGUUAUUCGGAAUCAUUGGGCGUAAAGGGCACGUAGGCGGUCUUUUGAGUCAGAUGUGAAAGCCCUCGGCUUAACCGGGGAAGUGCAUUUGAUACUAAAAGACUUGAGUAUGGGAGAGGGAAGCGGAAUUCCUGGUGUAGCGGUGAAAUGCGUAGAUAUCAGGAGGAACACCGGUGGCGAAGGCGGCUUCCUGGACCAAUACUGACGCUGAGGCGCGAAGGCGUGGGGAGCAAGCAGG
Molecule: ribosomal RNA, 253 nt
Filed under: uncultured bacterium
Lineage: Bacteria
Description: partial 16S ribosomal RNA
Rfam family: Bacterial small subunit ribosomal RNA
Source: RNAcentral